RNAcentral lists this ribosomal RNA (468 nucleotides) under uncultured bacterium. RNAcentral's name for it is "partial 16S ribosomal RNA". It matches the Rfam family "Bacterial small subunit ribosomal RNA", at positions 28 to 507 of the family's 1533-position model. The record is from RNAcentral.
GACGAACGCUGGCGGCGUGCUUAACACAUGCAAGUCGAACGGAAAGGCCCUGCUUUUGUGGGGUGCUCGAGUGGCGAACGGGUGAGUAACACGUGAGUAACCUGCCCUUGACUUUGGGAUAACUUCAGGAAACUGGGGCUAAUACCGGAUAGGAGCUCCUGCUGCAUGGUGGGGGUUGGAAAGUUUCGGCGGUUGGGGAUGGACUCGCGGCUUAUCAGCUUGUUGGUGGGGUAGUGGCUUACCAAGGCUUUGACGGGUAGCCGGCCUGAGAGGGUGACCGGGCACAUUGGGACUGAGAUACGGACCAGACUCGUACGGGAGGCAGCAGUGGGGAAUAUUGCACAAUGGGCGGAAGCCUGAUGCAGCAACGCCGCGUGCGGGAUGACGGCCUUCGGGGUGUAAACCGCUUUCGCCGGUGACGAAGCGUGAGUGACGGUAAUGGGUAAAGAAGCACCGGCUAACUACGUG